UUUUUGCGUUAAGGAUAGUAGUGGCAUCCUUUUUUUUGCUGCCAUAUAUGGCAAAAAAAAGAUAUAACGUAUAGCCUGACCUUUA
RNAcentral lists this small RNA (85 nucleotides) under Lacinutrix sp. 5H-3-7-4. Its description in RNAcentral is "Flavo-1 RNA". It matches the Rfam family "Flavo-1 RNA". The record is from Rfam by way of RNAcentral. Lineage: Bacteria; Pseudomonadati; Bacteroidota; Flavobacteriia; Flavobacteriales; Flavobacteriaceae.